CCUACGGGUGGCAGCAGUGGGGAAUAUUGCACAAUGGGGGAAACCCUGAUGCAGCGACGCCGCGUGAAGGAUGAAGUAUUUCGGUAUGUAAACCUCUAUCAGCAGGGAAGAAAAUGACGGUACCUGACUAAGAAGCCCCGGCUAACUACGUGCCAGCAGCCGCGGUAAUACGUAGGGGGCAAGCGUUAUCCGGAUUUACUGGGUGUAAAGGGAGCGUAGACGGUGUGGCAAGUCUGAUGUGAAAGCCCGGGGCUCAACCCCGGGACUGCAUUGGAAACUGGUGAACUGGAGUGUAGGAGAGGUAAGUGGAAUUCCUAGUGUAGCGGUGAAAUGCGUAGAUAUUAGGAGGAACACCAGUGGCGAAGGCGGCUUGCUGGACGAUAACUGACGUUGAGGCUCGAAAGCGUGGGGAGCAAACAGGAUUAGAUACCCCAGUAGUC
This 440-nucleotide ribosomal RNA is filed under the name uncultured bacterium. Its description in RNAcentral is "partial 16S ribosomal RNA". It matches the Rfam family "Bacterial small subunit ribosomal RNA", at positions 338 to 795 of the family's 1533-position model. The record is from RNAcentral.